Molecule: ribosomal RNA, 240 nt
Filed under: uncultured bacterium
Lineage: Bacteria
Description: partial 16S ribosomal RNA
Rfam family: Bacterial small subunit ribosomal RNA
Source: RNAcentral
UGAGGAACAUGACCUCCGGCGGGGGAUAGCCGGGCCCAACGGCCGGGUAAUACCGCGUACGACCUUUCGGGGACAUCCCCGGCUGGUGAAAGCAGCAAUGCACCGAAGGAGUGCCUCGCGGCCUAUCAGCUAGUUGGUGAGGUAACGGCUCACCAAGGCGACGACGGGUAGCUGGUCUGAGAGGAUGGCCAGCCACAUUGGGACUGAGACACGGCCCAGACUCCGUACGGGAGCAGCAGG